GUGCGGGAAGCGAAAAUUCGCGCUCGGUUUCGGCCCGUGUUUUGGAAACUAUCUCCCUCGCGCU
RNAcentral lists this transfer RNA (64 nucleotides) under Pseudocleopatra dartevellei. Its description in RNAcentral is "tRNA-Arg". Lineage: Eukaryota; Metazoa; Mollusca; Gastropoda; Paludomidae. The record is from RNAcentral.